UGGGGAAUAUUGCACAAUGGGGGAAACCCUGAUGCAGCGACGCCGCGUGAGCGAAGAAGGCUUUCGAGUCGUAAAGCUCUGUCCUAUGGGAAGAUAAUGACGGUACCAUAGAAGAAAGCCCUGGCUAAAUACGUGCCAGCAGCCGCGGUAAUACGUAUGGGGCGAGCGUUGUCCGGAAUUAUUGGGCGUAAAGGGUACGUAGGCGGUUUUUUAAGUCAGGUGUCAAAGCGUGGAGCUUAACUCCAUUAAGCACUUGAAACUGAAAGACUUGAGUGAAGGAGAGGAAAGUGGAAUUCCUAGUGUAGCGAUGAAAUGCGUAGAUAUUAGGAGGAAUACCGGUGGCGAAGGCGACUUUCUGGACUUUUACUGACGCUCAGGUACGAAAGCGUGGGGAGCAAACAGG
RNAcentral lists this ribosomal RNA (403 nucleotides) under Verrucomicrobiota bacterium. RNAcentral's name for it is "Verrucomicrobia bacterium partial 16S ribosomal RNA". It matches the Rfam family "Bacterial small subunit ribosomal RNA", at positions 355 to 776 of the family's 1533-position model. The record is from RNAcentral. Lineage: Bacteria; Pseudomonadati; Verrucomicrobiota.